CUUUCUUUGCUGGCGACCGGCGCACGGGUGAGUAACACGUAUCCAACCUGCCCCUUACUCGGGGAUAGCCUUUCGAAAGAAAGAUUAAUACCCGAUAGCAUAAUGAUUCCGCAUGGUUUCAUUAUUAAAGGAUUCCGGUAAAGGAUGGGGAUGCGUUCCAUUAGGUUGUUGGUGGGGUAACGGCCCACCAAGCCUUCGAUGGAUAGGGGUUCUGAGAGGAAGGUCCCCCACAUUGGAACUGAGACACGGUCCAA
RNAcentral lists this ribosomal RNA (254 nucleotides) under uncultured bacterium. Its description in RNAcentral is "partial 16S ribosomal RNA". It matches the Rfam family "Bacterial small subunit ribosomal RNA", at positions 79 to 334 of the family's 1533-position model. The record is from RNAcentral.